Molecule: long non-coding RNA, 1434 nt
Filed under: Bos taurus (domestic cattle)
Lineage: Eukaryota; Metazoa; Chordata; Mammalia; Artiodactyla; Bovidae
Description: long non-coding RNA NONBTAT018310
Source: RNAcentral
GGCUGAAAAUACUAUGUUACAAUCUGUUGGCUAGUCUCGGCUAAUUAGGACUGGCUGUGUUACUUUGCUGAGACAAGCCUAGUCUCAACAAGACACAGGCCUAAUAUAUUCCAUAUAGAGUUUUUUAAAAUGCUUAAAAUUACAAAGUAUUUUUACAUUAAUUUGCUGGUAAUUCCAAAUUGGUACCAAGCAAACUUUCUGGAACUCUGACUUACAUUUUUCAGUGACUACUUUUUAGAAUAUUUAUUAAAUAACUUUACUACAAUUUGAGAAUGGUGUUUUUAGACUCUGACAACAUUCACAUUUACAUUUACUACUUAAUGCUAAGAGAAAUCUAAAACCUGUAAUGCAGAGAAUUCAAGACUAAAUAUAAAGAUUUAUGUUCAGCUUACACUGAAGUGUUGGGUACUUAUAUAUUAAUCUGGUAUGCACUCAUCAUUAAUUGUGAAUUCAAGUUUAGUCUCUCCCAAUUUUAACACUUCAAAAAAUGAUACAAGCAAAUUAUUGGACAUCAGACAUGUUAGUUAUAGUGGAAAUAUAUUUUCAGGUACCCAAAAAUAACACAAUUUUCAAGAUUCCCUCCAAAGUUUAUAAAGUGUAGUCAAGAGUUUGGAGAAUGGGCAAAAUAGUCUAAAGUAUAUUCUCAAAGCAAACUUUUAUUAGACAAGCAUAAUUUAUAUUUUGCUUUUCUAGUAGGUUGGAAUAGAGAAUUGGUUGUAUAGUCUAUAGUUUUUGAUUCAUAAAGAAAUAACCAUAUUUGAAACAGUGGACCCGUUUCCUAGAUCACGUCAUAUGUACACAUAAUGCCAUUUUCUUCUGUGUGUGGUGUGUCUUUUGAUGACUUCCAAAAGCCUUAUUAUGUCAACCUUCUAUAAUGAUGAUUCCUUGAUUAUUUAAAUUCUUAUACUUUUUAAAGUUUACAUUUAUCUGUCAACAACUUUGUUCAUUUUAAAGAAACGUGCUAAUGCAUGGGAGAAGAGUGCCAGUUGAUAGUUCUAUAAAACUUUAAAACUAUGGUAUUUUGGAAGAAAAGCUUGAAAUGCAACAUAUAGAUGUAAUCAACACAGUAAUAUUACCAAUUCUUUAAUAAGUGAUUUUUAGAGAGGUCGUAGACUACUUUUACAGUGGAAAAUGUAGUUUAGACAUGCAAAACUUGAAUGUUUACAUCAAUUUAUAUUGAACGUCACAGUUUCAUAGAAGGAAAGGUGAUUUGAGAUUUAAUCUAUAUUCCAAGGAGACAGAAUCUGAGUGGAAACUAAUAGACUUUGUGCUUAGUAGACCUAGUAUAAUAAGACUAUUUGUAAGAACUGAUAAACUUUUCCUACAUAUCAGAUUAUUAAACUUUAACAUUGUCAUUGUAUAGUCACUCAUCUGAGUUUUGUAUUUAAAAACAGGGUUUAACAUCACUCAUUGUAUUUACGCAUUCAUUGUUAU